UAGGCCUACGGGACGCAGCAGUGGGGAAUAUUGCACAAUGGGCGAAAGCCUGAUGCAGCAACGCCGCGUGAAGGAAGAAGGGUUUCGGCUCGUAAACUUCUAUCAACAGGGACGAAAGAAAUGACGGUACCUGAAUAAGAAGCCCCGGCUAACUACGUGCCAGCAGCCGCGGGAAUACGUAGGGGGCAAGCGUUAUCCGGAAUUACUGGGUGGAAAGGGUGAGUAGGCGGCAUGGUGAGCCAGAUGUGAAAGCCUUGGGCUUAACCCGAGGGUUGCAUUUGGGAAUAUCCAGCUAGA
RNAcentral lists this ribosomal RNA (297 nucleotides) under uncultured bacterium. Its description in RNAcentral is "partial 16S ribosomal RNA". It matches the Rfam family "Bacterial small subunit ribosomal RNA", at positions 334 to 645 of the family's 1533-position model. The record is from RNAcentral.